RNAcentral lists this transfer RNA (68 nucleotides) under Tinaminyssus melloi. Its description in RNAcentral is "tRNA-Tyr". The record is from RNAcentral. Lineage: Eukaryota; Metazoa; Arthropoda; Arachnida; Mesostigmata; Rhinonyssidae.
GAUAGAAUGGCUGAUGUAAAGCGGUAAAUUGUAAAUUUACUUAUGGUUAUUUAAAAUAUCUUUUAUCA